RNAcentral lists this long non-coding RNA (603 nucleotides) under Trifolium pratense (red clover). Its description in RNAcentral is "long non-coding RNA (TPRA_LNC000689)". The record is from RNAcentral. Lineage: Eukaryota; Viridiplantae; Streptophyta; Magnoliopsida; Fabales; Fabaceae.
UAUAUGCAUAGUUCUAGGCAUGCGCGUUUCAGAAAUGUCAUAAAAAUGAUACUUUGGAGCUCUUUCGAACGAGUCUCUAGCAUCAUUACAACAAAAGAGUUAUGGAUAAAACUGUGGUUAGUUAACCAAUUUGCGCUUCUAUUUUCUUCUCGUCAUGUGUGCUUAAAUUGAAUUUGCAAACUCUUGCUAAUGAGGUCUUGGAUAAGAGGGAUCAAAAUGGGUGGUAGCAUUUGAUUAGACUAAUGGUGGGCUCUCUCUAUCUUGAAUUGCAGUUGAAUGAUAUCUAAAUUCUGGUAUUUAGCGGUUUGUUUAGUCCCCUCCAAGUGGCAUGGACAAACACAAUGCUUAUCUUAUCCAAUCUUUUUAUUCCUCCCCUUACCACAUGCAAUGCUUCUUCACUCGUCUUUUUCAAUGUCUAUAUUUAAAAUAUAUAAAAAUCGCACAAUUUUAUUUAUUUUUCAAACACAUCCCCAUGAUAAUGCUUAUACUUAUUUAUAGUUUCCCUUUCCUCAAGAAUCUUUUUUUUCCCAGGAAAUCAGAGGCAACAAGAGCUUCAACACGUAAACAUUAAUAUAUUUGAUAUACUAUAUAAAUUUAUGGAAU